RNAcentral lists this ribosomal RNA (501 nucleotides) under uncultured bacterium. RNAcentral describes it as "partial 16S ribosomal RNA". It matches the Rfam family "Bacterial small subunit ribosomal RNA", at positions 30 to 523 of the family's 1533-position model. The record is from RNAcentral.
AUUGAACGCUGGCGGCAGGCUUAACACAUGCAAGUCGAGCGGGGGAAGGUAGCUUGCUACCGGACCUAGCGGCGGACGGGUGAGUAAUGCUUAGGAAUCUGCCUAUUAGUGGGGGACAACAUCUCGAAAGGGAUGCUAAUACCGCAUACGUCCUACGGGAGAAAGCAGGGGAUCUUCGGACCUUGCGCUAAUAGAUGAGCCUAAGUCGGAUUAGUUAGUCGGUGGGGUAAAGGCCUACCAAGGCGACGAUCUGUAGCGGGUCUGAGAGGAUGAUCCGCCACACUGGGGCUGAGACACGGCCCAGACUCCUACGGGAGGCAGCAGUGGGGAAUAUUGGACAAUGGGGGGAACCCUGAUCCAGCCAUGCCGCGUGUGUGAAGAAGGCCUUAUGGUUGUAAAGCACUUUAAGCGAGGAGGAGGCUACUUUAGUUAAUACCAAGAGACAGUGGACGUUACUCGCAGAAUAAGCACCGGCUAACUCUGUGCCAGCCGCCGCAGUAA